UACGAAGGGGUCUAGCGUUGCUCGGAAUGACUGGGCGUAAAGGGCGCGUAGGCGGCUUACAUAGUUAGGCGUGAAAUUCCUGGGCUCAACCUGGGGACUGCGUCUAAUAAAUGUAGGCUUGAGUGUGAAAGAGGGUAGUGGAAUUUCCAGUGUAGAGGUGAAAUUCGUAGAUAUUGGAAAGAACACCGGUGGCGAAGGCGCCGACCUGGUUCAUUACUGACGAUGAGGCGCGAAAGCGUGGGUAGUAAACAGG
This 253-nucleotide ribosomal RNA is filed under the name uncultured bacterium. RNAcentral describes it as "partial 16S ribosomal RNA". It matches the Rfam family "Bacterial small subunit ribosomal RNA", at positions 524 to 776 of the family's 1533-position model. The record is from RNAcentral.